Molecule: long non-coding RNA, 2693 nt
Filed under: Homo sapiens (human)
Lineage: Eukaryota; Metazoa; Chordata; Mammalia; Primates; Hominidae
Description: HSALNT0393321
Source: RNAcentral
ACUAGAAGUUGGUCCGCGGUGUCCCGGGAGCCUGGGAGCCGCCUCAGCCCGCCCGGAGGGAAGGAGGGAAACACCGUCGGAGCCGACCGCGGCCUGGAGAGGGCCGGAGAGCCGGAGGCCAGGGGCCCGCGACGAGUAGGGGUGGAGGGGAGGAAAGCGGGGAGAUCGCGCGAGGAGGAAGCAGCCGAACCUCGGGCGGGCGCUGCGCAUGGAGAACGGCCGCGGCGGAGGGUGCUCCCAGGCGCGGAGAGAAGCCGAGGGCGCCAGCGGGCGAGCGCGAGUCCGGGGUCUGCGCCGCGCUGCUGGUGAAUAAAAAGGAGAGAGGAGGCGCCUCUUACUGCUCUGCCGGAAAACUGCAGCCUGGGCUCCUGAUUGGACUCACCGAGCCCUAAACAAACAGCGCUCGCCGAAGGGUGCCAGGCUGUGGGUCGGAACUGCGCUCAGCGAGCAGCUGGGCGCUGGAGGUGAAGAGGAGGAGGAGGGAUCGAGGGGAGGAGAGAAAAGAGGGUGGGGAGGGGACGGCGAGGGGGGAGGGGAGCGCGCCGCCCAGGCAGACAAUGAGAGCCGCGCUGCCUGCGGGCGUGGGCUGAGCCGCAAGCCCUGUCCCCGGAGUGGGGGCGAGUCCACCCGGGGGGCACCGAGCCCAGGGACCCCGGGGGAGGGGCGGAGGCCACAGAACGCCUGACCUGGCUAGCGACCCGCACCCAUCCAGCGGCGGUGCACCCUCCCGCUCCCGCAGUCGCACACACACACCCACACGAGGGAGGGGGAGGGAGCCUUGGCACGGGAGGAGUUGGCAGUGCACAGUCCCGCGCCGCCGCCGCGGCGGGAGGGGCGCUCCAGACCUUGGGUCAGCACGCCCCCAGAAGGAAGGGGGAACGUGCUCUGCGCCCCCCCGCCCCCCAACCCCCGCCUAGCCCCUUCACAGCAAAUGCGCUUUUUGCCCUGAAGUUGUGUGAGACCGACCUUAAACUUUCUCCGACCCUAUCUCGGGAUGCUACGGCUCAGGUCGUGGUGGUUUCGGGAACCUCAAGACAACAUUCCCCAGCUGACCUUUGGGAACUUUAACUCGGGUCGUCAUGUACGGAAAGGUAGUCUAUGGGGUACGCAGAAUGGAAAAGGGCUUCCACAUCAGUCGUGUCCGAGGACGCUCUCCAACUUUUGAUGUCCCUGGAGAGUUUCUGAUAUUUCCCUGGAGAGUUUCAGAAAGGAUUUCUUCCGACAGACGUGACCCCAGAAGGCUGCCGAGGGAGACUUUAGGACAAGAGGCGUUGUUUUUGUGAGAAUGAAUUUUUAUACUUUACCCCGACCCCACCCCCUACCCCCCGCCCAGGUAAAUCCAAGUAAAUGAUUUUCUGAAGGUCGGUCUCCUAGAAAGCGUUUAGGCUCUGGUUUUUUGUUUUGUUUCUAUUUUCGUGUUUUCCCAGUUAGGGAAGGAAGAGGAGCCUGUGCAGAGUUGAACUGGGGUGGAGAGGUGCCUUGUAAAGUAUGGUUUCCAGAGAUGGUGAGACCUCGUAGCUAAGCGUUGUUUCCUCUGCACGUAACUGUGAGUUGUGAACUUGUGGCUCCUGGGGGAGCGGGACAGGGCCUGGCAGUGCGGGGGAGGGGGCAAGGAAUUCAGGAAGUUGGCGAGAAUUCUUCGUUUUUCAUUCUUCGUUGUAAAUUGCUUCUAAACACUUCUGAAUUUUAAAUUGCUACCGAGAAGGUCCAGAAACCGUUCUCAUCCAAUUUAGUCACUUUUAUUACGUUCCACUUUGCCUCCCCCAAUCACUGCGGCGGCUCCCAGUUUCAGCGUGGCCGCAUUUGGAAAAGGCUGAAGGUAGAAAACUCUGGAAUGGAGAGGCUGGCGACUGGAGCAGGAUCCAGGGGCUUUAAAUUUUAACCUGAAUGCGAUCGAAUGCGCGACUCCCAGAAGAGAUAGCCAGGCGUCCGCCCGGCCGCUCAACCCCCGCCAGGACUCGGAAUGCCUUGCUUUUGGUUCUUUUCGUGAGUUCCGACCAAAUGUUUAAGUGGACUGGGUUUUGCAGAAGCUCAUUUGUAAGCACUGACGGAAAUGGGUUGUGGGCAUUUGAUUUCCUUUGAUUCCAACGUUUUGAAAUAAUGUUUCUCGGAUUUGCUAUUCGAAGCAAUUUUCUAAAAACUCAUAUCUUAUUUGCUAAAAAUAAACUCUUUGGCUCAGUUUGUGUCCAGGCUGUGUACGGCCUCCAACCCUGAGCCCCGAGGAGAUCGAGCCCUGGCGCGAGCCUGAUCUCUGUCCUGUGUGUUUCUUUGUAUUUGCAAGUACAAGGAUGUCUGCGUGGAUAUCCCUGGACACUCGAUACCCCCCGGGGACCUGCUUUUCCCGCAGCUCCGCAGACGCGGCGGGAGGGCGCGCUGGCCCCGGCGCUGCUGGGACAGAGGUGAGCAGCGGGGUGGACAUUGACCGAUUCGACAACGUUCGGGCUCUAAGGGCUCGGGAAGGGACCCGGCAUUUUACCCUCCAGAUUCCCAAUCUAUUUUUAAAAAUAAUGUUCAAAACAUAUGGGAAAAAUAAGUGAUUGCUCCUUUUCAUGGUCACAGAUUGUAUUUAUUUUUUCAGACUGGUUUUCCAACCUAACGAGGGAAUGGGUAGUGAAUGUUGUUGUUGUUGUUGUUGUUUAUGUUGGUUAAUUUCGAAAUAAAACUGUUUAACUCGUACAGUUGAUUCAGACAGA